GACGGAGGGUGCGAGCGUUGUUCGGAUUGACCGGGCGUAAAGGGCGUGUGGGCGGUUGGUCAAGUCUGAUGUGAAAGCCCGGAGCUCAGCUCCGGAAGGGCAUCAGAAACUAACCAGCUGGAGCGCGAUAGAGGAGGGCGGAAUUCCUGGUGUAGCGGUGAAAUGCGUAGAUAUCAGGAGGAACACCGGCGGCGAAGGCGGCCCUCUGGCUCGUUGCUGACGCUGAGACGCGAAAGCGUGGGGAG
This 245-nucleotide ribosomal RNA is filed under the name uncultured bacterium. RNAcentral's name for it is "partial 16S ribosomal RNA". It matches the Rfam family "Bacterial small subunit ribosomal RNA", at positions 524 to 768 of the family's 1533-position model. The record is from RNAcentral.